This is a long non-coding RNA of Trifolium pratense (red clover), 1897 nucleotides long. RefSeq lists it as uncharacterized. The record is from RefSeq and is a predicted model, not a curated record. The transcript has 3 exons. Lineage: Eukaryota; Viridiplantae; Streptophyta; Magnoliopsida; Fabales; Fabaceae.
AAGAUUCUUUACAUAUUUUCUCAUGACUUUUCAUAUUUUCUUCACUUCAAAUUUUAUCUAUUUAUUAGUUGCAUUAUUACAUGUAUUUUUGUCAGUUUAGAUUCAUUAAUCAAACCAUUUUAAACAAGUGGUUGUUUGUGGUAAGACCUUAUUGUAAUAGGUUGAGCUACACCUUGGUUGGCAACAACAUGCUUUGAGAAUUAUGCGAGGCAAAUGCCAUUAAGUAAUUGCUUUCUCACCUAUAUUGGAACUUGCUGUUAGGGGGAACUUGGUAGGAAAACCAAUAUAGUUAUGAAUAAUGAUGUCCUCACAGUAUUUGUAGAUCGGUGCUCGACAAGUUUGUUGCUCAAGUGGUUUGUCUAUCAUCAUAUGUAGCAUUGGCAGCAUUUCACAUUAUACAUUUGUCUUUGAAUGAUUUGAAUAAUACUGUAUGUCAUUUUGUUUUAUUUAAACUUAAUUUUAUGUUUAGAUAUAUAUUCUUCUUACACAUUAUACAUUUGUCUUUGAUGGAUACAUGAUAUAUGGCUUAUCUUAAGCUUUUGAAAGAACUGACAGUUCAACUACUAUCAGUAGUGGGAGUUAGUUUCUUAUUGACCUGUGCUUUAUGUUCAUUAGGAUCUCGCGUCGCUACUCCAACUCCAAAGUCAUCUAUAAAUAUUAAUAAGCCACACCGAUUUGAAUCUCUCUUGCCACGUGGUGUACUCAAGGUAACCAUGCCCUCACAAUGAUUUAGCCUUCAAUGCCAUAAUUAGGCCAAUUUUUAAAAGAAAAAAAAUACACUAAGAUGUUUUUCAAAUGCCUAAUCUCACUCAAUAGUUUGUCGGCAUUGGUGCUGCUUUUUUAAAACCCUAAGCAUAUCAUCAUCUCCCUCUUAGCACUAUCGUCAUUGAAUCAAAGUGCCGCCGGCCCAGGUACUAUCAUCCUACUUGCAUCCUCUCCAUUCUUGCUGUCGUUUCCUUGCAUUGAUUUCUUCAUCAAACCUUCAUGAUCCUAAGUUAGGGUCGUUGUUGUCCUUUCUCUGUCAAACGGUACAGCUGAGUGACUAUCAAUGAUUUUGUUUUCAUUUUUCUCUCAUAAUUGCUCUGUAUUUUCGUUUUUGUCAAGUAUCAAAGUAAAUCAAUUCUUGCCUUUGUUCUGAUUUUUUUAUUCUUCUAUUUGUUUGUAUUGAAUAUUGGUGAUGUUUCAGGACAGUUUCAUGUUGAAUAUUCCAGCACUGGAGUUAAUGUUUUGAUUGUUAGAGGCAGUUUAACAUUACAGUAAAUUGAAGAAAAUAAUCAAGCUAGGCAGAGAACAACAAUUUGACGGUCAUCACUUUAGCAAACCAUUGUCUGAGGAUAAACAUGGUGUUUGAGGAUAAACAUGUCAAUCGUUGCUUUUGCAGGUCCACACAUUCACGCAUUCAGGUAGUCAUUCAAUCAAUAUGGGAUGGCUCAGAUUUAAUAUCGUACGUAGAAAAUAAUGGGCUGCAUGUUGCUUCAAAAUCCUCUUCUGAAACAAAGAUUACACGGUCGAGCAGGCAGGUUUGUUUUGUCAUUCCUUCUUUUCUUUAUUUAAGGUUUAUUAUUUAGAAUUUUAGAAUAAAUGAAUUUUAGCUUAAUGAUCACAUUUAAAAUUUCAUUAGAUAUAAUAAAAUUUGUAGCUUAAUUUAUGGGAUUCUCUUUUGAAGCAUAAUAGUUCAUGGUACAAUCAUGUUCCUUCCACUAUUGAAUGUGGUUAAAUUGAUCUGUUUUGUCUAAUUUGCCACUGUCUACAUAUUUGAACUUAUUACACCAUUAUGGCAUACUUAAAAGUCAUCGUUUAGAAGUCUUUGUAUUUCGAACAUCAGCAUAUUUGAUGUGAGUUAUUCAUUUUUUAAAUUAUUGAUCUUGCAAUACAUAUGUUUAUUUUGUUCGUUCAU